GUCAUGUAAUGGGCCGGUUCCACUCUCCCCAUUCCGGACAUCGUCUCAGACAGGCAGAAUUUUGUGCAUCCUAACCUAGGCAUCCGGUGAUCUAUCCUUCCUCCCACACACCCCCAGCCCACCAUCGUGGAUAUCGUCGGAGCCACCGCUCGUAGAGGAGGCCAAGCCAUCGGCCUCCCCACCGAAGGAAUCAGAACCCUCUAGUAGAGGGGGUGCCGCCGCCGUGCUAGGGGUGGCCCAUCAGGCAAACAUGCUAUGGGUCGGUAACCUUUCCACGCAUGUGGGCGAGGAUGACGCCACUGCAGUCUUCGCCUCACAAAGGGCACUUGAAUGCAUCAUCAUGCACACUGACUCUCACAGCAAUGCCUUCAUCCUCUAUAGCUCGCUCGAGGCACUCCGCGGGUACAAGGUCAAGGGCUCCUUCAUCCGCGUUGUCAUCCCAUGAAGUGAUUUCUUGGGCACUUACAAUUUUGGUGCUGGUGAUUUGGCAUGACGCUGCACGAGAGGGAUAUUUAUCAUCCCAUGGUCAAGCUCUUUUAUGAAUUUUAGGAUGUGUUGGCUUCUUAUAUAGUCCUAGAUUUUUUUUAUUGUUCCUUGUUCUACGGUGAAAUUGUUAUGUUGGUGUUGUGUAAAGACUGUUGCCCUCAUGAUACUUACUAGUGUAAUUUGUAACACCCCGGAUGUAACUUUCCAUAUUUGUAACUCCAACUCUUGCCAUUUUCGGCUAUGUGUUAUGAUA
Aegilops tauschii subsp. strangulata is the source of this 739-nucleotide non-coding RNA. The record is from RefSeq and is a predicted model, not a curated record. Lineage: Eukaryota; Viridiplantae; Streptophyta; Magnoliopsida; Poales; Poaceae.